Poecile atricapillus (Black-capped chickadee) is the source of this 864-nucleotide RNA transcript. It is a transcript of the gene named translocase of outer mitochondrial membrane 6, with no coding region annotated. The transcript has 5 exons. Lineage: Eukaryota; Metazoa; Chordata; Aves; Passeriformes; Paridae. The record is from RefSeq and is a predicted model, not a curated record.
CGGCGUGACGUCAUCGCGCGGCGCGGGCGGGCGGCAGCAAUGGCGGCGGUGGGAGCGGCGGGGGCAGCGGGAGCGGCCGCGGUUCCACCGCGGGGCAUCGGCGCCUGGCUGCGGAGCGCCUUCCGCUUCGCCACCGACCGCAACGACUUCCGCAGGAACCUGCUGGUGAACCUGGGGCUGUUCGCCGCGGGGGUCUGGGUCGCCCGGAACCUGACGGACAUCGACCUGAUGGCCCCGCAGCCCGUCCCGUAGCAGCGGAAGGAGCUGGAGCUGCUGGGAGCAGAGCUCACCCUCCCACCAGGACUGGAGCCGUGGGGCUGCUCUGAUCCCCCUGGAGCUGCUCUGAUCCCACCUGGAGCUGCUCUGAUCCCACCCAGAACUGCUCUGAUCCCACCCAGAACUGCUCUGAUCCCACCCAGACUGCUCUGAUCCCACCCGGAGCUGCUCUGAUCCCCCUGGAGCUGCUCUGAUCCCAUCUGGAGCUGCUCUGAUCCCCCUGGAGCUGCUCUGAUCCCACCUGGAGCUGCUCUGAUCCCCCUGGAGCUGCUCUGAUCCCACCUGGAGCUGUUCUGAUCCCACCUGGAGCUGCUCUGAUCCCACCUGGAGCUGCUCUGAUCCCCCUGGAGCUGCUCUGAUCCCACCUGGAGCUGCUCUGAUCCCCCUGGAGCUGCUCUGAUCCCACCUGGAGCUGCUCUGAUCCCACCUGUCCUGCCUGGAGCAGGACAAAAGGUUCAAUACUGACGGAGGAUUUGGUUUCCCGUUGAUUCAUCCCUUCAGGAAUUGUUUCCUCGAGGAUGUGCACGGAAUUUCCUGCUGUACCCCCCACCCCCAGAUGUUUAUUAAAAUUUAUGGAAUAACAACCCA